UUGAACGCUGGCGGCAGGCUUAACACAUGCAAGUCGAACGGUAACAGAGGAUAGCUUGCUAUUUUGCUGACGAGUGGCGGACGGGUGAGUAAUGCUUGGGUAUAUGCCAAUAGGUGGGGGACAACAGUUGAAACGACUGCUAAUACCGCAUAAUCUCUUCGGAGCAAAGCAGGGGACCUUCGGGCCUUGCGCCUAUUGAUUAGCCCAAGUGGGAUUAGCUAGUUGGUAAGGUAAUGGCUUACCAAGGCGACGAUCCCUAGCUGGUCUUAGAGGAUGACCAGCCACACUGGAACUGAGACACGGUCCAGACUCCUACGGGAGGCAGCAGUGGGGAAUAUUGCACAAUGGAGGAAACUCUGAUGCAGCCAUGCCGCGUGUGUGAAGAAGGCUUUCGGGUUGUAAAGCACUUUCAGCGAGGAGGAAAGGGCGUAGGUUAAUAACUUGCGUCUGUGACGUUACUCGCAGAAGAAGCACCGGCUAACUCCGUG
Molecule: ribosomal RNA, 488 nt
Filed under: uncultured bacterium
Lineage: Bacteria
Description: bacterial SSU rRNA
Rfam family: Bacterial small subunit ribosomal RNA
Source: RNAcentral